This 461-nucleotide ribosomal RNA is filed under the name uncultured bacterium. RNAcentral's name for it is "partial 16S ribosomal RNA". It matches the Rfam family "Bacterial small subunit ribosomal RNA", at positions 28 to 505 of the family's 1533-position model. The record is from RNAcentral.
GACGAACGCUGGCGGCGUGCUUAACACAUGCCAGUCGAACGGUAAGGCCCUUUCGGGGGUACACGAGUGGCGAACGGGUGAGUAACACGUGGGUGAUCUGCCCUGCACUUUGGGAUAAGCCUGGGAAACUGGGUCUAAUACCGGAUAGGACUACGCGAUGCAUGUCGUGUGGUGGAAAGCUUUUGCGGUGUGGGAUGGGCCCGCGGCCUAUCAGCUUGUUGGUGGGGUGAUGGCCUACCAAGGCGACGACGGGUAGCCGGCCUGAGAGGGUGUCCGGCCACACUGGGACUGAGAUACGGCCCAGACUCCUACGGGAGGCAGCAGUGGGGAAUAUUGCACAAUGGGCGCAAGCCUGAUGCAGCGACGCCGCGUGGGGGAUGACGGCCUUCGGGUUGUAAACCCCUUUCAGCACAGACGAAGCGUAGUGACGGUAUGUGCAGAAGAAGCACCGGCCAACUACG